Molecule: long non-coding RNA, 1372 nt
Organism: Nothoprocta perdicaria
Lineage: Eukaryota; Metazoa; Chordata; Aves; Tinamiformes; Tinamidae
Exons: 3
Source: RefSeq, a predicted model, not a curated record
UCAUUGUGCAAUUAUAUUUUCAUUAUUAGUCCAUUGACAGUUGGUGUUCAGGUGCCUGGCUAUACUCCAGAUAUUCCAGGACAUGCGAGAGGAGGAGUUUGAUGGAUCAAGAAACUGAAGGAGCUAAUCGAUGCUAGGAAGAGGUGACUGCUAGAGCUGUCUGGCCACCAGCUGAAGGAGGACUGAGCCAGAGGGUGCCUCUCUUAUCCCGAGGGCGUGCAUCUUGUCCCAUGGCAUUAGGAAGAUUCUUUGUCAAAGAUUUUCUGCUGUGGAUCAAAGUGAGCAGGGAUCUUUGAGCAGCCUUGCAGCAAGGACAGGCCUUCUGCUGUGGAAAUCUGGCCAGCUUCCCAUARCCAACGCAAGCAGGACACCUAGAGGAAUUCACCUUGGAGUCACACCAGCUCUGCAGGCUAAAGAAUGAGUGAAAUGUCUGCUUACCUAGUUUUUUAAAAAAAAUCUCAUUUGCAUUUAAGCUUCUUUAAUAMCCUGUUAAAUGACAGUCAGUCAAAAAAUGGCAGAGCUAUUGCUUUAAGGAUAGGCUUGCUGCCUGUUCUUGUGCGUGGGCUCGUGUGCACUUUUAGGGGAACCUUUAACAACAGACGUGUAUUUUAAGCCUUACUUUUUUGUACAAGGAGAAUUGACAGAGUCUUUAAUUGCUGAAUUGUUUUUCUAUGGCUACCCUAAAAUACACAGAUCUGGUACUGACUGGAUAUAAAUGGUCUAUUUAUGUAACAAAAAUGCUAGUUUCAUGGGAUAUUUUUACUGUUUGAAUGGCUCAGGGUGUGACAAGGUGCUCUGACGUGUGACACAGAUGAUAUUUACUCUAGCCUUUGCACAACCCCUUUUUGUUAUUUCUUUACCUUGGGAGUUGAGCUAACUUUUGGUAACUUCCAGAAUGUGACUCUCUGCUGCUCUUUCCACAACUCUUUCCGCAAUUGAUUGUAGGUGUAUGAUCUAUUGAUUAUAAUUUGAGGCAUAGAGGGAGUAUAUUCCACCAUCACAGUUUGAGCUCAAUUUCCCGAAAUUGCAGUUAGAGCACAGUUCCUGGGGCAGACUUGGAAAAUCAAAAACCCUGAGCCUGACCAAAACCUGUCACUUGCCAAUAGUGCUGCUGCAUUAAUUGACUUUUAUUGCAAAGACCACACAGGACCACAACCCUUUCCUUUCAAGAUGGUUCCUAGACCUGCUAGGAACGAAUCUGCUCUCCGAUAGGGCUUUUUCUCACCUCUCCAAGCUAGCGGCCAGAAGGACAGGGUCUGUGCCAUUGAAAGAAGGCUGAGAACAUCUCAAGCACGUACAAGCUGGACACUGGUUUGUUCCUGACUGGCAGAAGGAAGAAAAGAAUGCCCUGCUCCAUCUGUUUGGGCUUCCU